AGCAAAUAUAAACCUUAUAGCUGUCGAAAGGAGAAGACAAAGGAGAUGGUGGAUACGACCAUGGCUUAGUCAUGAAAGACGACGCAGUUUUAGUCUAUAUGACCAACUCAUGACCGAACUUAGGCGGGAGGAUCGGCAUUCCUUUGUACACUUCCUUCAAAUGCCCACAGAGAUGUUCGACGAGAUAUUGCAGCGGGUUGGGCCUUGCAAAGCCAAGCAGAAUACCUUUUACAGAAAUCCGCUGGAACCAGGUCUCAAGUUAGCAAUUACACUUAGACACCUUGCUUCUGGAGCAAAAUAUCGUAGCAUGUAGUACGGAUGGAGAGUUCCGCAUAACACCACAUCCGUUUUCAUACCAGAGGUACAUAAUAUAAACAAAUUCAUAAAAUCAACUUAAACUCUAUAUUACCACACUGCUUCUACCUUGAUUUUUUUUUAUCAGAGGAGCUCUAUAUUUGCACACAUAUCAUGCUAAACAAGACGCAAUACAAAAUAAAAUCAACUAAACCAGUUAACUCAAAAAGUGACCCUCGUGUGAAGAAACGUAAAAAA
RNAcentral lists this long non-coding RNA (552 nucleotides) under Mytilus galloprovincialis (Mediterranean mussel). Lineage: Eukaryota; Metazoa; Mollusca; Bivalvia; Mytilida; Mytilidae. The record is from RNAcentral.